Molecule: small RNA, 349 nt
Filed under: Arabidopsis thaliana (thale cress)
Lineage: Eukaryota; Viridiplantae; Streptophyta; Magnoliopsida; Brassicales; Brassicaceae
Description: ATSL084930
Source: RNAcentral
UUUUUUCCAAAAUAAUUAAUUUUACUUUAAAUUCUUAAUUUAAAUUGUCAAUUACAUUAUCAAUCAAAUUUAAUCCAAACAAACUUCACAUUAAUCCCUUAAAAUUAGCAUAAACGUAUUUGUUAGCAAUAUUUUAAAACAAAGUUUUUUGUUUAAAUAAAUAUUAUUCUUACUAAACGUUUUUUUGUCUAAAUAAAUAAACCCUGUAUUUGAACUUAUUUACAAUGUCAUGCUAUUGGCAUUAAUUAUUUAGAAAUUAAAAUAUUUAAUUAACGAUUUAAAUCUUCUAAAUCUUUGCUUUUAGAGUUAUUAUGUCAUUACCUAAAAGGCAAAAAAUAUAUAUAUUUUU